GAUUAAGUUAUUAAGGGCGCACGGUGGAUGCCUUGGCACUAGAAGCCGAUGAAGGACGUUACUAACGACGAUAUGCUUUGGGGAGCUGUAAGUAAGCUU
Molecule: ribosomal RNA, 99 nt
Filed under: Staphylococcus aureus
Lineage: Bacteria; Bacillati; Bacillota; Bacilli; Caryophanales; Staphylococcaceae
Also listed under: 2 other names
Description: partial 23S ribosomal RNA
Rfam family: Bacterial large subunit ribosomal RNA
Source: RNAcentral